GUCCUGGGGACGCGAAAGGGGAGCCGGAAGAGCGCCAGGGCGGAGGAGGAAGGGGAGGCUGCAGCCGCAGCCCAGCCCCAAACGCUGGGUUGGAACUUACCGACUGUGCGUUUUAAUUGUGUUAUUUUCCCGGCCGGGAGGCCAGCAUGGUAUUUGUAAGUUGAAGAGCCUUUGAAAAGGCAAACACAGAAUUGUAUAAUACAUAUUAGCUCACACCGUAAAGAUUGCAUGGAAUUUGACUGAACUGUAAAGAACAAAAAAGACGUUUCAGGUUUUAACUCGGUUUGGCCACCUCCCCGGCCCUCAUGUGCCGGGGAACUGGAGGUUGCAGUGAUGAAAACAGUGAGAAGACGAUGAACAUCGCUAUGCACCCACACGUCCGGCCGCGAACGUUCUGACGAGAGCCAGCCGGUUUUUGGAAGGGCCGAGGUGACCCGAAUUCAGGAACAGGGAGACCCGGGCAUGAUGGCGUCCCGCCCCACCAUGAGACCUCCCGGGGCUGUCUUUGUCCUGGCUGCUUCCUGCAGCUGGGCCUGCCUCGGGGCUGCAGCGAGGCUGGCGGUCAGCAGUGUCCCUGCCACUGGCCAAAGCAGACCUCACUGUGUCUGCUGAGAAGCAGCCCUUACUGCGCCCAAGGUCUAGGCCUCCGGGAGGCAGCUAACCAUUCACACAGCAGAGCUGAUAAACGUGUCAGUGUCUGCCAGAAGCCAAGUUGGUUCCCGUAUACAGAUGACAUAUUUGCAUUUUAAUUGGAUCUUCUGUGGACUCUAAACUCUAAAGUUCCAAAGGAGGACAACUAAGGCUGGGAAUUUCAAAUAUGCAGCAGAUGCUGAUGGGAGAGGAGUUGCAUAGCCAAGCUCUUGAGAGAUCUCAAGUGACAGCACCUAGGCAUGGCUACUUCAUCUUUUUCUUUGCAUAAGGAUAAUUCUUCCAAUGGUGAGAUGUUUAAUACCAGGAAGCAGAGUCCUGCAGUAAUUGGAGAUCCUGGAUCCCACUGACUCUCCUAAUUAGAAGGAACAGAAAAUGAAAGGAUCUUAGUUCCCCUGACCAG
Molecule: long non-coding RNA, 1051 nt
Organism: Orcinus orca (killer whale)
Lineage: Eukaryota; Metazoa; Chordata; Mammalia; Artiodactyla; Delphinidae
Exons: 3
Source: RefSeq, a predicted model, not a curated record